This 263-nucleotide ribosomal RNA is filed under the name uncultured bacterium. Its description in RNAcentral is "partial 16S ribosomal RNA". The record is from RNAcentral.
CUGCUGCCUCCCGUAGGAGUUUGGGCCGUGUCUCAGUCCCAAUGUGGCCGUCCGCCCUCUCAGGCCGGCUACCGAUCGUCGCUUUGGUGGGCCUCUACCCCGCCAACUGGCUAAUCGGACGCGGGUCCAUCCCAUACCACCGGAGCUUUUCACACUGUAUCAUGCGAUACCGUGCGCUUAUGCGGUAUUAGCAGCCGUUUCCGGCUGGUAUCCCCCGGUAUGGGGCAGGUUGCCCACGCGUUACUCACCCGUCCGCCACUAAA